GCCGCGGAGGCUGUAGAUCGCCUGGUGGAUGCCUUUCGGGGAGGCAUCAGCUGGAGAUCUAGUAGGAGAAGGAGAAGAGGAUAUCGGAGAAGAUGACCGGAGGCAGUCCCGUUGAGCACUCCUUUAAGAACAAGGGUACUGCGAAGACACAGCCAGCCCUUCCUCUAGUGCCAAUUCUAUUGGUGCAGAAUUCUGCCGAAGCUGGAGUUGCUAGAGUUGAGAUGACCGCAGCCACCGUCGGGACCUGCAAGGAAAGUCUAAAUCGGAGUUGGGGGUGCUCCGGCAAGACCCUCUGAUGCUCAAGUCAGUACUCUGC
This 316-nucleotide long non-coding RNA is filed under the name Elaeis guineensis (African oil palm). RNAcentral describes it as "long non-coding RNA (EGUI_LNC077411)". The record is from RNAcentral. Lineage: Eukaryota; Viridiplantae; Streptophyta; Magnoliopsida; Arecales; Arecaceae.